UGUCAGCCGCCGCGGUAAUACGAAGGGGGCGAGCGUUGUUCGGAAUUACUGGGCGUAAAGGGCGCGUAGGCGGCUCUUUAAGUUAGGCGUGAAAGCCCCGGGCUCAACCCGGGAACUGCGCUUAAUACUGGAAGACUAGAAAACGGAAGAGGGUAGUGGAAUUCCCAGUGUAGCGGCGAAAUUCGUAGAUAUUUGGAAGAACACCAGUGGCGAAGGCGGCUACCUGGACCGGCACUGACGCUGAGGUGCGAAAGCGUGGGGAGCGAACAGGAUUAGAUA
RNAcentral lists this ribosomal RNA (279 nucleotides) under uncultured bacterium. Its description in RNAcentral is "partial 16S ribosomal RNA". It matches the Rfam family "Bacterial small subunit ribosomal RNA", at positions 506 to 784 of the family's 1533-position model. The record is from RNAcentral.